GGGGUUGUGGCUCAGUGGUAGAGUGUUCGCCUUGCAUAUGCGAGACCCUGAGUGAUUCGUUCCUCAGCACCACA
RNAcentral lists this transfer RNA (74 nucleotides) under Marmota monax (woodchuck). RNAcentral describes it as "tRNA.Ala". Lineage: Eukaryota; Metazoa; Chordata; Mammalia; Rodentia; Sciuridae. The record is from RNAcentral.